GACGAACGCUGGCGGCGUGCUUAACACAUGCAAGUCGAACGGAAAGGCCCUGCCUUUGUUGGGUGCUCGAGUGGCGAACGGGUGAGUAACACGUGAGUAACCUGCCCUUUACUUUGGGAUAACUUCAGGCAACUGGGGCUAAUACCGGAUAGGAGCUCCUGCUGCAUGGUGGGGGUUGGAAAGUUUCGGCGGUUGGGGUUGGACUCGCGGCUUAUCAGCUUGUUGGUGGGGUAGUGGCUUACCAAGGCGUUGACGGGUAGCCGGCCUGAGAGGGUGACCGGCCACAUUGGGACUGAGAUACGGCCCAGACUGCUACGGGAGGCAGCAGUGGGGAAUAUUGCACGAUGGGCGGAAGCCUGAUGCAGCAACGCCGCGUGCGGGAGGACGGCCUUCGGGUUGUAAACCGCUUUCGCCUGUGACGAAGCGUGAGUGACGGUAAUGGGUAAAGAAGCACCGGCUAACUACGUG
This 468-nucleotide ribosomal RNA is filed under the name uncultured bacterium. RNAcentral describes it as "partial 16S ribosomal RNA". It matches the Rfam family "Bacterial small subunit ribosomal RNA", at positions 28 to 507 of the family's 1533-position model. The record is from RNAcentral.